GGAUGAACGCUAGCGACAGGCUUAACACAUGCAAGUCGAGGGGCAGCACAGGUAGCAAUACCGGGUGGCGACCGGCGCCCGGGUGAGUAACGCGUAUGCAACUUACCUAUCAGAGGGGGAUAACCCGGCGAAAGUCGGACUAAUACCGCAUGAAGCAGGGGUCCCGCAUGGGGAUAUUUGCUAAAGAUUCAUCGCUGAUAGAUAGGCAUGCGUUCCAUUAGGCAGUUGGCGGGGUAACGGCCCACCAAACCGACGAUGGAUAGGGGUUCUGAGAGGAAGGUCCCCCACAUUGGUACUGAGACACGGACCAAACUCCUACGGGAGGCAGCAGUGAGGAAUAUUGGUCAAUGGCCGAGAGGCUGAACCAGCCAAGUCGCGUGAGGGAUGAAGGUUCUAUGGAUCGUAAACCUCUUUUAUAAGGGAAUAAAGUGCGGGACGUGUCCCGUUUUGUAUGUACCUUAUGAAUAAGGAUCGGCUAACUCCGUG
This 486-nucleotide ribosomal RNA is filed under the name uncultured bacterium. RNAcentral's name for it is "partial 16S ribosomal RNA". It matches the Rfam family "Bacterial small subunit ribosomal RNA", at positions 27 to 507 of the family's 1533-position model. The record is from RNAcentral.